GACAGAGGCCUCAAGCGUUAGGCGGAAUCACUGGGCUUAAAGCGUGUGUAGGCGGAUCGUUAAGUGUCUUGUGAAAUCCCACGGCUCACCCGUGGAACUGCUGGGCAUACUGGCGAUCUUGGGCCAACUAGGGGCAACUGGAACAAGCGGUGGAGCGGUGAAAUGCGUAGAUAUCGCUUGGAACGCCAAGGAGGUGAAAACAGGUUGCUGGGGUUGUGCCGACGCUGAGACACGAAAGCCAGGGGAGCAAACGGG
Molecule: ribosomal RNA, 255 nt
Filed under: uncultured bacterium
Lineage: Bacteria
Description: partial 16S ribosomal RNA
Rfam family: Bacterial small subunit ribosomal RNA
Source: RNAcentral